RNAcentral lists this ribosomal RNA (217 nucleotides) under uncultured bacterium. RNAcentral's name for it is "partial 16S ribosomal RNA". It matches the Rfam family "Bacterial small subunit ribosomal RNA", at positions 115 to 334 of the family's 1533-position model. The record is from RNAcentral.
GCAUCGGAACGUGCCCAGUAGUGGGGGAUAACUAGUCGAAAGAUUAGCUAAUACCGCAUACGACCUAUGGGUGAAAGCGGGGAUUCGCAAGAACCUCGCGCUAUCGGAGCGGCCGAUGUCUGAUUAGCUAGUUGGCGGGGUAAAAGCCCACCAAGGCUUCGAUCAGUAGCUGGUCUGAGAGGACGACCAGCCACACUGGGACUGAGACACGGCCCAG